GACGAACGCUGGCGGCGUGCUUAACACAUGCAAGUCGAGCGGAAAGGCCCUGGAGUUGUGGGUUGCUCGUUUGCGGAAGGCGUGAGUAACACUAGAGUAUACCCCCCCUGACUCUGGGAUAACAUUAGGAAACCGGGGCUCAUACCGGAUAGGAGCUCCUGCUGCAUAGGGGGGGUUAGAAAGAUUCGGGGGUGGGGGAGGGACUCGCGGCUUUUCGGCUUGUUGGUGGGGUAGUGGCGUACCAGGCCUCCCAGGGGUAGCCGACCUGAGAGGGUGACCGGCGCCAUGGGGACUGAGCUACGGCCCAGACUCGUACGGGACGCAGCAGUGUGGAAUAUUGCACAAUGGAGGGAAGCCUGGUGCAGCAACGCCGCGUGCGGGAUGAUAGGCUUCGGGUUGUGAACCAAUUUGGCAUGUGCCGGAGCGUGAGUGACGGUAAUGGAUAAAGAAGCACCGGCUAACUACGUG
This 468-nucleotide ribosomal RNA is filed under the name uncultured bacterium. Its description in RNAcentral is "partial 16S ribosomal RNA". It matches the Rfam family "Bacterial small subunit ribosomal RNA", at positions 28 to 507 of the family's 1533-position model. The record is from RNAcentral.